CGCCAUUUUGAUGAGAAUGACAUAAAAGAGGGACUGAAGUAUUAAACGUGUUUCAUCCGUUUAAACGAUGGGUUUUGAAGGAAGGAGCCAUUCCGAGAUAUUUCCUUACACCCAAUGAAACUUCCCGACAACCAUUACAAAGCAUUUGCAAUGUGAAUAGGAGAAACAAUUCAAUAGCAAACCCUACUGUCGAUGAAAAGUGCAGGAAGCAUCCAAAUAAAGAAAGAUAUGCCUUUGCGAAGAAGAGCAGCCUAAAUAAAAAGAUUUCUGAUGAUUUGGCCACCCCCAUGGAAGUCGUUCCAGAUGAGAACCUUUCAGUUGAAAAACAGUUACCAGCUAUGGCUAAACAACCUGCAUUAGUAGUCGUAGAAACAAUACCGUCACUACCA
Molecule: long non-coding RNA, 389 nt
Organism: Daphnia magna
Lineage: Eukaryota; Metazoa; Arthropoda; Branchiopoda; Diplostraca; Daphniidae
Exons: 4
Source: RefSeq, a predicted model, not a curated record